GCUUUCGUGGUACAAUGGUAGCACACUCGGCCCUUAUUCGAGAAGUCCAGGUUCGAGUCCUGGCGAGGGCA
Molecule: transfer RNA, 71 nt
Filed under: Stegodyphus mimosarum
Lineage: Eukaryota; Metazoa; Arthropoda; Arachnida; Araneae; Eresidae
Rfam family: tRNA
About the family: Transfer RNA (tRNA) molecules are approximately 80 nucleotides in length. Their secondary structure includes four short double-helical elements and three loops (D, anti-codon, and T loops).
Source: Rfam by way of RNAcentral